This 462-nucleotide ribosomal RNA is filed under the name uncultured bacterium. Its description in RNAcentral is "partial 16S ribosomal RNA". It matches the Rfam family "Bacterial small subunit ribosomal RNA", at positions 338 to 795 of the family's 1533-position model. The record is from RNAcentral.
CCUACGGGUGGCAGCAGUGAGGAAUAUUGGUCAAUGGACGCAAGUCUGAACCAGCCAAGUAGCGUGCAGGAUGACGGCCCUCCGGGUUGUAAACUGCUUUUAGUUGGGAAUAAAAGGGGGCUCGUGAGCCCCGUAUUGUAUGUACCAUCAGAAAAAGGACCGGCUAAUUCCGUGCCAGCAGCCGCGGUAAUACGGAAGGUCCGGGCGUUAUCCGGAUUUAUUGGGUUUAAAGGGAGCGUAGGCCGGCUUUUAAGUCAGCUGUGAAAGUCCGCGGCUCAACCGUGGAAUUGCAGUUGAAACUGGAGGCCUUGAGUGCACACAGGGAUGCCGGAAUUCAUGGUGUAGCGGUGAAAUGCGUAGAUAUUAGGAGGAACACCAGUGGCGAAGGCGGCCUGCUGGACUGUAACUGACGUUGAGGCUCGAAAGCGUGGGGAGCAAACAGGAUUAGAUACCCUAGUAGUC